AACGUAGGUCACAAGCGUUGUCCGGAAUUACUGGGUGUAAAGGGAGCGCAGGCGGACUGACAAGUCUGAUGUGAAAGGCGGGGGCUCAACCCCUGGACUGCAUUGGAAACUGUUAGUCUUGAGUGCCGGAGAGGUAAGCGGAAUUCCUAGUGUAGCGGUGAAAUGCGUAGAUAUUAGGAGGAACACCAGUGGCGAAGGCGGCUUACUGGACGGUAACUGACGUUGAGGCUCGAAAGCGUGGGGAGCAAACAGG
Molecule: ribosomal RNA, 253 nt
Filed under: Blautia obeum
Lineage: Bacteria; Bacillati; Bacillota; Clostridia; Lachnospirales; Lachnospiraceae
Description: partial 16S ribosomal RNA
Rfam family: Bacterial small subunit ribosomal RNA
Source: RNAcentral